CCUACGGGAGGCAGCAGUGAGGAAUAUUGGUCAAUGGACGAGAGUCUGAACCAGCCAAGUAGCGUGAAGGAUGACGGCCCUAUGGGUUGUAAACUUCUUUUAUCUGGGAGUAAAAUGUUCCACGUGUGGGAUUUUGUAUGUAACCUACGAAUAAGGAUCGGCUAACUCCGUACCAGCAGCCGCGGUAAAACGGAGGAUUCGAGCGUUAUCCGGAUUUUUGGGGUUGAAAGGGAGCGUAGGUGGUUUGUUAAGGCAGUUGUGAAAUUUUGCGGCUCAACCGUUAAAGUGCAGUUGAAACUGGCAUUCUUGAGUACAGUAGAGGUAGGCGGAAUUCGUGGUGUAGCGGUGAAAUGCUUAGAUAUCACGAAGAACUCCGAUUGCGAAGGCAGUUCACUGGACUGCAACUGACACUGAGGCUCGAAAGUGUGGGUAUCAAACAGGAUUAGAUACCCCAGUAGUC
RNAcentral lists this ribosomal RNA (460 nucleotides) under uncultured bacterium. RNAcentral describes it as "partial 16S ribosomal RNA". It matches the Rfam family "Bacterial small subunit ribosomal RNA", at positions 338 to 795 of the family's 1533-position model. The record is from RNAcentral.